Molecule: ribosomal RNA, 521 nt
Filed under: uncultured Pleosporales
Lineage: Eukaryota; Fungi; Ascomycota; Dothideomycetes; Pleosporales
Description: eukaryotic LSU rRNA
Rfam family: 5.8S ribosomal RNA (bases 156-309)
Source: RNAcentral
GGAGGAUCAUUAUCGUAGGGCUUCGGCCCUGUCGAGAUAGAACCCUUGCCUUUUUGAGUACCUUUCGUUUCCUCGGCAGGCUCGCCUGCCAAUGGGGACCACAAAAAACACUUUGCAGUACCUGUAACAGUCUGAACAAACAAAACAAAAAUUAAAACUUUCAACAACGGAUCUCUUGGUUCUGGCAUCGAUGAAGAACGCAGCGAAAUGCGAUAAGUAGUGUGAAUUGCAGAAUUCAGUGAAUCAUCGAAUCUUUGAACGCACAUUGCGCCCUUUGGUAUUCCUUAGGGCAUGCCUGUUCGAGCGUCAUUUAAACCUUCAAGCUAAGCUUGGUGUUGGGUGACUGUCCGCUUCACUGCGGACUCGCCUCAAAAUUAUUGGCGGCCGGUACAUUGGCUUCGAGCGCAGCAGAAACGCGAACUCGGGCCCGUCGUAUUGGCACCCAGAAGCUAUCUUCACAAUUUUGACCUCGGAUCAGGUAGGGAUACCCGCUGAACUUAAGCAUAUCAAUAAGCGGAGGA